GUGGGGAAUAUUGGACAAUGGGCGCAAGCCUGAUCCAGCCAUGCCGCGUGAGUGAUGAAGGCCUUAGGGUUGUAAAGCUCUUUCAGUGGGGACGAUAAUGACGGUACCUACAGAAGAAGCCCCGGCUAACUUCGUGCCAGCAGCCGCGGUAAUACGAAGGGGGCUAGCGUUGUUCGGAUUUACUGGGCGUAAAGCGCACGUAGGCGGAUUGGUCAGUUAGAGGUGAAAUCCCGAAGCUCAACUUCGGAACUGCCUUUAAUACUGCCAGUCUCGAGUCCGGAAGAGGUGAGUGGAACUCCUAGUGUAGAGGUGGAAUUCGUAGAUAUUAGGAAGAACACCAGUGGCGAAGGCGGCUCACUGGUCCGGUACUGACGCUGAGGUGCGAAAGCGUGGGGAGCAAACAGGAUUAGAUACCCGAGUAGUCC
RNAcentral lists this ribosomal RNA (425 nucleotides) under uncultured bacterium. RNAcentral's name for it is "bacterial SSU rRNA". It matches the Rfam family "Bacterial small subunit ribosomal RNA", at positions 354 to 796 of the family's 1533-position model. The record is from RNAcentral.